This 490-nucleotide ribosomal RNA is filed under the name uncultured bacterium. RNAcentral describes it as "partial 16S ribosomal RNA". It matches the Rfam family "Bacterial small subunit ribosomal RNA", at positions 30 to 507 of the family's 1533-position model. The record is from RNAcentral.
AUUGAACGCUGGCGGCAUGCUUUACACAUGCAAGUCGGACGGCAGCACAGAGAUUCUUGCUUCUUGGGUGGCGAGUGGCGAACGGGUGAGUAACAUAUCGGAACGUACCGAGCAGUGGGGGAUAACUAAUCGAAAGUUUAGCUACUACCGCAUAUCUUCUGAGGAAGAAAGCAGGGGACCAUUUGGCCUUGCGCUGUUUGAGCGGCCGAUAUCUGAUUAGCUAGUUGGUGGGGUAAAGGCCUACCAAGGCGACGAUCAGUAGCGGGUCUGAGAGGAUGAUCCGCCACACUGGGACUGAGACACGGCCCAGACUCCUACGGGAGGCAGCAGUGGGGAAUUUUGGACAAUGGGCGAAAGCCUGAUCCAGCCAUGCCGCGUGUCUGAAGAAGGUCUUCGGGUUGUAAAGGACUUUUGGCAGGGAAGAAAAGGGCGGGGUUAAUACCCCUGUGUGAUGACGGUACCUGAAGAAUAAGCACCGGCUAACUACGUG